This 497-nucleotide ribosomal RNA is filed under the name uncultured bacterium. RNAcentral describes it as "partial 16S ribosomal RNA". It matches the Rfam family "Bacterial small subunit ribosomal RNA", at positions 28 to 507 of the family's 1533-position model. The record is from RNAcentral.
GAUGAACGCUGGCGGCGUGCCUAAUACAUGCAAGUCGAGCGAACAGACGCGGAGCUUGCUCCUCUGACGUUAGCGGCGGACGGGUGAGUAACACGUGUAUCCCCUCCCUAUCAUACUGGGAACACUUCGGGACACCGGAGCUUAUACCGGAUAAUAUCUUGAACCGUGUGGUUCAAUAGUGAGAGACGGUUUUGCUGUCACUUAUCGAUGGAUACGGGCCGCUUUAGCUAGUUGGUGAGGUAAAGGCUUACCAAGGCAACGAUGCGUAGCCGACCUGAGAGAGUGAUCGGCCACACUGGAACUGAGACACGGUCCAGACUCCUACGGGAGGCAGCAGUAGGGAAUCUUACGCAAUGGGCGAAAGCCUGACGGAGCAACGCCGCGUGAGUGAUGAAGGUCUUCGGAUCGUAAAACUCUGUUAUUAGGGAAGAACAAAUGUGUAAGUAACUAUGCACGUCUUGACGGUACCUAAUCAGAAAGCCACGGCUAACUACGUG